Molecule: ribosomal RNA, 429 nt
Filed under: Acidobacteriota bacterium
Lineage: Bacteria; Pseudomonadati; Acidobacteriota
Also listed under: 2 other names
Description: Acidobacteria bacterium partial 16S ribosomal RNA
Rfam family: Bacterial small subunit ribosomal RNA
Source: RNAcentral
UGGGGAAUAUUGCACAAUGGGGGAAACCCUGAUGCAGCCAUGCCGCGUGUGUGAAGAAGGCCUUCGGGUUGUAAAGCACUUUCAGUAGGGAGGAAAGGUUGUAAGUUAAUACCUUGCAGCUGUGACGUUACCUACAGAAGAAGGACCGGCUAACUCCGUGCCAGCAGCCGCGGUAAUACGGAGGGUCCAAGCGUUAAUCGGAAUUACUGGGCGUAAAGCGUGCGCAGGCGGUUUGUUAAGCGAGAUGUGAAAGCCCCGGGCUCAACCUGGGAAUUGCAUUUCGAACUGGCAAACUAGAGUCUUGUAGAGGGGGGUAGAAUUCCAGGUGUAGCGGUGAAAUGCGUAGAGAUCUGGAGGAAUACCGGUGGCGAAGGCGGCCCCCUGGACAAAGACUGACGCUCAGGCACGAAAGCGUGGGGAGCAAACAGG